This 115-nucleotide Y RNA is filed under the name Propithecus coquereli (Coquerel's sifaka). RNAcentral's name for it is "Y RNA (ENSPCOG00000005353.1)". It matches the Rfam family "Y RNA". From Rfam's summary of the family: Y RNAs are components of the Ro ribonucleoprotein particle (Ro RNP), in association with Ro60 and La proteins. The Y RNAs and Ro60 and La proteins are well conserved, but the function of the Ro RNP is not known. Lineage: Eukaryota; Metazoa; Chordata; Mammalia; Primates; Indriidae. The record is from Rfam by way of RNAcentral.
GGCUGGUCUGAAGGUGAUGAGUUUUCUCACUUUGAUUGUUCACAGUCAGUUACAGACUGAACUCCUUGUUCUACUACUUUCCCCCCUUCUCACUACUGCACUUCACUUGUCUUAA